ACAUUAGACGUACCCGGGUACGUCCCAGCCGUAAACAAUGUGCGUUAGGUGUGUCGGUAACCACGCGUUACUGAUGCGCCGAAGAGAAAUCGUGAAACGCACCACCUGGGAAGUACGGUCGCAAGGCUGAAACUUAAAGGAAUUGGCGGGGAGCACCACAACAGGUGGAGCCUGCGGUUUAAUUGGAUUCAACGCCGGACAUCUCACCGGAUAAGACAGCUGAAUGAUUGUCAAUCUGAAGGUUUUACAUGACUAGCUG
Molecule: ribosomal RNA, 259 nt
Filed under: uncultured archaeon
Lineage: Archaea
Description: partial 16S ribosomal RNA
Rfam family: Archaeal small subunit ribosomal RNA
Source: RNAcentral